UAGGGAGGGUGCGAGCGUUGUUCGGAAUCAUUGGGCGUAAAGCGCGUGUAGGCGGCUUGGUAAGUCGGGUGUGAAAUCCCGGGGCCCAACCCCGGAACUGCAUUCGAAACUGCCUCGCUAGAGUCCCGGAGAGGAAGGCGGAAUUCCCGGUGUAGAGGUGAAAUUCGUAGAUAUCGGGAGGAACACCAGCGGCGAAGGCGGCCUUCUGGACGGUGACUGACGCUGAGACGCGACAGCGUGGGGAGCAAACAGG
RNAcentral lists this ribosomal RNA (253 nucleotides) under uncultured bacterium. RNAcentral describes it as "partial 16S ribosomal RNA". It matches the Rfam family "Bacterial small subunit ribosomal RNA", at positions 524 to 776 of the family's 1533-position model. The record is from RNAcentral.